UACGGAGGAUGCGAGCGUUAUCCGGAUUUAUUGGGUUUAAAGGGUGCGUAGGCGGUCUGUUAAGUCAGCGGUAAAAUUGCGGGGCUCAACCCCGUCGAGCCGUUGAAACUGGCAGACUUGAGUUGGCGAGAAGUACGCGGAAUGCGCGGUGUAGCGGUGAAAUGCAUAGAUAUCGCGCAGAACUCCGAUUGCGAAGGCAGCAUACCGGCGCCCUACUGACGCUGAGGCACGAAAGCGUGGGUAUCGAACAGG
Molecule: ribosomal RNA, 252 nt
Filed under: uncultured bacterium
Lineage: Bacteria
Description: partial 16S ribosomal RNA
Rfam family: Bacterial small subunit ribosomal RNA
Source: RNAcentral